GUCAACUACCCCGGGCUAAAAGCCCGAGGCUUGCAAAAGUCUGGUUGACCAGCUUCAGUCAGCAAUGCUGACUACGUUGCAAAGAGGUUCAAGACUCACUCCGGGGUGCUUCCUCAGCUCCGGACCCUGAAAGUUCCGAAAGCAGACAAGCUAUGGGUAAGUACGAAACGGUUCGGAACAAAACGCCGCUCUGCAACAUUGGCGAGGGGAACAACAC
Molecule: non-coding RNA, 217 nt
Organism: Burkholderiales bacterium YL45
Lineage: Bacteria; Pseudomonadati; Pseudomonadota; Betaproteobacteria; Burkholderiales
Source: Rfam